This 440-nucleotide ribosomal RNA is filed under the name uncultured bacterium. RNAcentral's name for it is "partial 16S ribosomal RNA". It matches the Rfam family "Bacterial small subunit ribosomal RNA", at positions 338 to 795 of the family's 1533-position model. The record is from RNAcentral.
CCUACGGGCGGCAGCAGUAGGGAAUAUUGCUCAAUGGGGGAAACCCUGAAGCAGCAACGCCGCGUGGAGGAUGAAGGUUUUCGGAUUGUAAACUCCUUUUGUUAGAGAAGAUAAUGACGGUAUCUAACGAAUAAGCAACGGCUAACUCCGUGCCAGCAGCCGCGGUAAUACGGAGGGUGCAAGCGUUACUCGGAAUCACUGGGCGUAAAGAGGGCGUAGGCGGGAUAGCAAGUCAGAUGUGAAAUCCUAUGGCUUAACCAUAGAAAUGCAUUUGAAACUGUUAUUCUAGAGUAUGGGAGAGGUAGGUGGAAUGCUUGGUGUAGGGGUAAAAUCCGUAGAGAUCAAGAGGAAUACUCAUUGCGAAGGCGACCUGCUAGAACAUAACUGACGCUGAUGCGCGAAAGCGUGGGGAGCAAACAGGAUUAGAUACCCCUGUAGUC